GUGUCAGCCGCCGCGGUAAUACGGGGGGAGCGAGCGUUGUUCGGAUUCAUUGGGCGUAAAGGGCGCGUAGGCGGCUUGGCAAGUCUGACGUGAAAUGUACCGGUUCAACCGGGGCGCUGUGUCGGAAACUGCCUGGCUUGAGGUCGAGGGAGGAAGGUGGAAUUCCUGGUGUAGCGGUGAAAUGCGUAGAUAUCAGGAGGAACACCCGUGGCGAAGGCGGCCUUCUAUCUCGAUUCUGACGCUGAGGCGCGAAAGCUAGGGGAGCAAACGGGAUUAGAAACCCCAGUAGUCC
Molecule: ribosomal RNA, 292 nt
Filed under: uncultured bacterium
Lineage: Bacteria
Description: partial 16S ribosomal RNA
Rfam family: Bacterial small subunit ribosomal RNA
Source: RNAcentral